Molecule: non-coding RNA, 636 nt
Filed under: Pan troglodytes (chimpanzee)
Lineage: Eukaryota; Metazoa; Chordata; Mammalia; Primates; Hominidae
Source: RNAcentral
UGCAGAGUGGCCAUAUGGAUUUGAUCCCUAUCCUUCAGAGGUGCUCAGCCUAAGGGAACACGGAUAGUAGAUUAAGCACUGACCAGAUAUGUAGAAGCACUUAGGGACUUUGUUCUACUAUUCUGCACUGAAGGAACUUUCAGAACUUUCCAGUGCUUCAAGUUGGGGUCCGGCUCGAGUUUGUACAUUCCAACUUGUUGUUUGGGCCUUGUUGGACAUAACUGAAGUCUGGAUGGCAGGGUGAAAAUUGGAUAAACAGCCACACUGACUCAGGGGAGAUUUUUUUUUAAUGCAAACAUCUGUUUCUUGAAUUUGGCCAUGGUAAGACCUAAGGGAAGGGGGAAUACCAGUUGAUGAAAUAAGAUCAAGAAGAUACUGCCUCAUUUUUUCUUCUGUUUCAGGGGUAUAAAUCCUGCCUUCUCUCAGCCUUACAGAGGAAGAAAACCCUUUCCAAGUUUCCUGUGAUAUUGGGUUUAUGCCCAAUUCUAGUUUAGGCAUGAAGAAACUGAAGCAUGGAGGAAAAACUAAGCAACUAGCCCAACGUCACACAGGCAAGCCAGCCUUGACAAUGUGCUGUUGGCAACCUAGAACAUAAGCAGAGGAGUAUACAGGACGCGAACUUGAUGGUCUCGGGAA